RNAcentral lists this ribosomal RNA (404 nucleotides) under Anoplotermes janus. RNAcentral describes it as "partial 12S ribosomal RNA". Lineage: Eukaryota; Metazoa; Arthropoda; Insecta; Blattodea; Termitidae. The record is from RNAcentral.
UAUUAUUUUGGGAUGUAAAUUUUUGUGCCUGAGUAGUAUUAGUUAUGUUCUUGAAACUUAAAGAAUUUGGCGGUAUCUUAUUCCAUCCAGAGGAAUCUGUCUCGUUAUCGAUAGUCCGCGUUGGACCUUACUUAGUUGCUUUGGUUUGUAUACCGCCGUUUAUUGAUUAUCUUUUUAGGGUUUAUUUAAUUUUCUAUUUUCUUUAUUUUGAUUUAUUUCAGGUCAAGGUGCAGCUUGUUUCUAAGUGGGAAUGAUGGAUUACAUUGUUAUUUGUUUAUUGGAUUGUUGAUUUUAAUAUUGGUAUGAAAUUGGAUUUGGUUGUAAUGUUUUGUAGAUUGUUUUCAUGAUAAUUGGUUCUGGGAUAUGUACACAUCGCCCGUCGCUCUCGUUUAUUUGUUAAUGAG